AUGGAGGGCAUGGACGUGGACCGGGACCUGGAGCUGAUGCAGAAUUUCAACUACCUGAGCACCACCAACAAAGACGUGCUCAUCUCCAAGUUCCAGAGGCUGCUCGGCUUCCAGCUCAACCCUGCCAGUUGCGCCUUCUUCCUGGACAGGACCAACUGGAACCUACAAGCAGCAAUUGGUGCCUCUUAUGCCUUUGAGAGCUCAAACAUCAGUGUGCCCUCUGUGUCCUUUGUUGAAGAUGUCACCCUAGAGGAAGGGUAGUCAAUACCUCCUGAUACUCAGUUUGUAAAAACUUGGUGGAUCCAGAAUUCUGUGGCAGAGGCCUGGCCUCCAGGGGUUUGUCCUAAAUAUGUCGGGGGAGACCAAGUUGGACAUGUGAGCAUGCUGAUGGUGAGAUUGCUAGAGCCGCAAGAGAUUACAGAUGUUAUUGUCCAGAUGUGCAGCCCCAGCAGAGCAGGAAUGUAUCAGGGAUGGUGACGGAUGUGCACUGCUACAGGACUCUACUAUGGAGAUGUCAUCUGGGUGAUUCUCAGUGUAGAGGUGGGUGGACUUUUAGAAGUAACACAGCAGCUGUCAUCUUUUGAAACGGAGUUCAACACAACCGCAUAGCAAGGUAGAAGGAAACUUCAACCCUUUUGCCUCUCCCAAAAGAACCAACAAUCAGAUGAAAACAACUUAUAAGACCCUGGGGGUUCCGAGUUCUACUCGAUCAGCAAAAACACAUGGGCUGCUGCUCCUGACCAAGCUGAGCAAGACCAGAGCAGACUGUCACAGAACUCUGUAAAUCUGUCUCCCAGCAGUCAUGCAAACAACUUAUCAGUAGUGACUUACAGUAAGGGGCUCCGUGGGCCUUACCCCUUCGGCCAGU
Molecule: long non-coding RNA, 868 nt
Filed under: Homo sapiens (human)
Lineage: Eukaryota; Metazoa; Chordata; Mammalia; Primates; Hominidae
Description: non-protein coding lnc-CD8B2-11:1
Source: RNAcentral